GAUGAAGAACGUAGUGAAAUGCGAUAAGUAAUGUGAAUUGCAGAAUUCAGUGAAUCAUCGAAUCUUUGAACGCACCUUGCGCUCCUUGGCAUUCCGAGGAGCAUGCCUGUUGAGUGUCAUUAAAUUCUCAAGACCUGUCUGCUUUUUUGAUAGGUAUUGGAUUUUGGGGGUUGCAGGCUGUUUCAAAUAAAUAGCCUUGCUCUCCUUGAAUGUAUUAGUGGAGAAAAGCCAUUGAACUCCAUUGGUGUGAUAAAACCUAUCAAUGCCAGGAGCAAUAUCACUACUUCUCUCUGCUGUCUAACUGUGACUGUCUGUAUUAAUUAGUAUGGAUGGGGACAACUUGACCAACUUGACCUCAAAUCAGGUAGGACUACCCGCUGAACUUAAGCAUAUCAAUAAGCGGAGGA
Molecule: unclassified non-coding RNA, 407 nt
Filed under: soil metagenome
Description: partial contains 5.8S ribosomal RNA, internal transcribed spacer 2, and large subunit ribosomal RNA
Rfam family: 5.8S ribosomal RNA (bases 1-119)
Source: RNAcentral